AGCGCACAGGUUUACCUGUGAGCGGCAGACGGGUGAGUAACGCGUGGGAAUCUACCUUAAGCUGCGGGAUAACAGAGAGAAAUUUCUGCUAAUACCGCAUGUGCCCCGGAAGGGGAAAGAUUUAUCGGCUUAAGAUGAGCCCGCGUUGGAUUAGCUAGUUGGUGGGGUAAAGGCCUACCAAGGCGACGAUCCAUAGCUGGUCUGAGAGGAUGAUCAGCCACACUGGGACUGAGACACGGCCCAGACUCCUACGGGAGGCAGCAGUGGGGAAUAUUGGACAAUGGGCGCAAGCCUGAUCCAGCCAUGCCGCGUGAGUGAUGAAGGCCUUAGGGUUGUAAAGCUCUUUCACCGGGGAAGAUAAUGACGGUACCCGGAGAAGAAGCCCCGGCUAACUUCGUGCCAGCAGCCGCGGUAAUACGAAGGGGGCUAGCGUUGUUCGGAAUUACUGGGCGUAAAGAGCGCGUAGGCGGAAAAGUAAGUCAGGGGUGAAAUCCCGGGGCUCAACCCCGGAAUUGCCUUUGAUACUGUUUUUCUUGAGUGCAGAAGAGGUAAGUGGAAUUCCGAGUGUAGAGGUGAAAUUCGUAGAUAUUCGGAAGAACACCGGUGGCGAAGGCGGCUUACUGGUCUGCAACUGA
This 635-nucleotide ribosomal RNA is filed under the name uncultured Hyphomicrobiales bacterium. RNAcentral describes it as "bacterial SSU rRNA". It matches the Rfam family "Bacterial small subunit ribosomal RNA", at positions 65 to 743 of the family's 1533-position model. The record is from RNAcentral. Lineage: Bacteria; Pseudomonadati; Pseudomonadota; Alphaproteobacteria; Hyphomicrobiales.